Long non-coding RNA from Mobula hypostoma (lesser devil ray), 431 nucleotides. RefSeq lists it as uncharacterized. Lineage: Eukaryota; Metazoa; Chordata; Chondrichthyes; Myliobatiformes; Myliobatidae. The transcript has 3 exons. The record is from RefSeq and is a predicted model, not a curated record.
ACUUUCAACAGUACAUCAAUAGAUCAAACAGAAUUCUUGAAAAUUCCGACAUGUCUACUUUACUGUCACGAUGAGGCCGCCCUCAGGUUGGAAGAACAACAUCUUAUAUUCUGUCCGGAUAGCCUCCAAACUGAUGGCAUGAACAGAACAUUGAUUUCUCGAGCUUCCGAUGCCGGAAUAAAGUCUGCCAAAGGCCACACUUGCUUUGGUGAUCCUGGUGUUUGUUUCACCAUCAGUGACGAUGUUCUGGGACAGUGUGCUACCAAGCUGUGACAGGACCCCUGCUAGAUGUGCUAAGAGGGCCAGGGAAGGAAUGGAGCAGGAAAUGUUUAGGGCACCUUUUCCAGCCCCUUCCUCAUACCAUGGAGGUGAACAGUGCAUUCCUGAAGAGGGCUGCUCAGUCGUUCGGGUGGCUGCGCUAUGCCAGUGGA